RNAcentral lists this ribosomal RNA (301 nucleotides) under uncultured bacterium. Its description in RNAcentral is "partial 16S ribosomal RNA". It matches the Rfam family "Bacterial small subunit ribosomal RNA", at positions 509 to 807 of the family's 1533-position model. The record is from RNAcentral.
CAGUCGCCGCGGGAAUACGAAGGGGGCUAGCGUUGUUCGGAUUUACUGGGCGUAAAGCGCACGUAGGCGGACUUUUAAGUCAGGGGUGAAAUCCCGGGGCUCAACCCCGGAACUGCCUUUGAUACUGGAAGUCUUGAGUAUGGUAGAGGUGAGUGGAAUUCCGAGUGUAGAGGUGAAAUUCGUAGAUAUUCGGAGGAACACCAGUGGCGAAGGCGGCUCACUGGACCAUUACUGACGCUGAGGUGCGAAAGCGUGGGGAGCAAACAGGAUUAGAGACCCCGGUAGUCCCUGUCUCUUAUAC